GUUUGCCUUCUUUCAUUCUUUCGUUGUUGGUGACCUUCUCCUAUGACUUCAAUGUCAACAGACCGCAGUUAGUCGUGGGCUUGUGUCGAGCCUAAGUUAAUCGCGUUUUUCACCACUUUAUUGUAAGCCAGUCGUGCCGUCAGCCAUAUUCUACAAAUGCAACUCAGUCUCAUUAUGUCUCGCCACGCAACGGAGGCCAUCCUCACCUGACCCGACUAUUGUAUAUGUCAGCCAGCUUUGAGUGUACCAAAGAGCAUCCUUGGUGCCUCAUGGGUCGCUAUAGAGAACAAUGAUCAUAUGCAAAACGAAUAUGCAAAUGUCGAAAAGAGUAUGUAUCGGAGAUCAACAUAUGUCGUCAGUAAUGGGGCUAGUUCCGGAGCCGAUACAUUAAUAUCAAGAGCUCCAAAAGGUUCAUAAUGCGCUGAAUGAGUGCUCUAGAAAGCUCAACACCAGCAGGAAAAUAGAUCCUGGGACUUUGGACUUCCCCGGAAGAUGUUCCAGGAGCCGUUCCGAUAGUGGCGAUGUCGGCAAAUGCUCCCUUUGUAAUCAACGCACAGCGAUCUUGGUUCUUUGGGGAAGGAACAUUUUCAACAUCCUCCGGUUCUUCUUGACAAAAGAAGUGGAGCGUGGCAGUAUGCUACUGGCGAACGAGGGAGAACUUCAGAGGGCGACCAGUUACUCUUGAAUGGGCUACUUGGCCUGUUUACCGAUUUAUGCGCCGCCUGGGAGAAUGGCAGACGAUUGAAGCAUCUUGACUCUGACGAGGCUUUCUGGCUUUUUAAAUCAGAAGGGGUUACCGAAGCCGAGAGAAUUGAGGCUCUCAAAGCAAAGUGAAGGGAGUAUGCACUCAUAGCUUUCAAGAGAUUACGUGGGUUCAAGCGGGCGAAUUUGAAGAGCGCUCGCCAUGCGCCCGAUCUGUGGGAUUGUAAAACUUGCAACAAGUUGCUGUAUGAUUUGGUUAUUGCACAAACCCGCGUCCUUCGAGACGUCUGGCUGCGUCAUCAUGCUCCAGGUGUCAAGCCAGUUAUAGGUCCAAUAACAGCAAAGGAAUUACCCCGCCUUCGUGCAAUGGGGCAGAAUGUGUUUGACUAUGUGUCUGCCUCACAUUCGUUUCAAUUCUUCCUUUGAUGAUUAGACAGGCAAAUCGUGCCACAUUAAGGUUUUUACUCGUAGCUCUUGUUUACAUUAUUUAGUAUGUCCUAUUCAAUAAGACAUUUAGAUCAGAGUACCAAAACAAGAUCACCAAGGAGCGAGCUGUCUAGAGGUCCACUGUAC
RNAcentral lists this small RNA (1275 nucleotides) under Cryptococcus neoformans H99. RNAcentral describes it as "Cryptococcus neoformans var. grubii H99 hypothetical RNA". Lineage: Eukaryota; Fungi; Basidiomycota; Tremellomycetes; Tremellales; Cryptococcaceae. The record is from RNAcentral.